UACAGAUCCUGAUGUGCAGCAGCAAAUUGU
Molecule: non-coding RNA, 30 nt
Filed under: Homo sapiens (human)
Lineage: Eukaryota; Metazoa; Chordata; Mammalia; Primates; Hominidae
Source: RNAcentral